Molecule: long non-coding RNA, 13282 nt
Filed under: Triticum aestivum (bread wheat)
Lineage: Eukaryota; Viridiplantae; Streptophyta; Magnoliopsida; Poales; Poaceae
Description: long non-coding RNA (TAES_LNC012935)
Source: RNAcentral
CGGAUUCGUCACCCCCCGCGAGGAGUUGCUCGCCAAUCCGCAGCUCUACCUCCUGAUCCUGCGCGCUGCCGGAGCCAAGGCAGCGGCCGUCGCCUUCGCUUAGUAGGGAGGCGCAUCACAUGCAUGCGCAUGCAUGCAUGUCCCUUCCGUCUACUGAAGUUAGUGUUGUUUUUGUCUACUCAAAAUUUUCGGUUUGUUGACUUAUCUUAUGGAGUAUUACCAGUGUACUAGAUCUGUUGAUCUGCCUCUAGCUAGUCACUUCCGUCGACCUACAGAAGUUCAAUGUUAUCUCCUAAGAAGAUGUGUGUAUCAUGUUUUUUUGUGUGUGUGUGUGUCAAGUUAUCUUAGUGUGCUCUAUUGAUUUGCAUGUGGUCUAUGAUCUAUAUCAUUCCAAAAAUCUCAAGAUCGAAGAUGGAUACUAGUGUUUGCGUGCAGCAGAUUUGAGGGGCCUGGAACUCCUCCAGUCGAAAAACAAACGUUACGAAAAUGUACCUCUACGCACCGAUAUGUGGGCCAGAUGAUCUACUACUAGGGUUCUUUGUAAUAACUUGACUGCUAAAGAAUAGUAGGUCGGAAGUUUUAUUAAUAAAAAAAGUUGCGUAUCCAACUACUUGCACGUAAUAGCACACAGAACAUCGACCAACGCGUGCACAGCACGACGGGCAUACGUGGCUCGAGCGAGCGAGCCUGGCUCGUCAAAAAUGGCCGAUUCGGCCGUUCCCUUGCAUAUGCAGUCUCAGAGUGUUCUAAGUGUCAUGCGAGCGAGAAACAAUGGAUGCAGUCCAAACAACCAAACAAAUUGUUUUUGUGUCGCACGGCCGGACCGAGAAGCAGAUGCAGCCCAACCAACGUCCUGAGAAUUAAUACUACAGUGAGCACGAUUCUUUUGGGAGAAAAAGUGGUUUCUAAUUGGGGGUUUUCAAACAACAUCAAUUUAUCCCAGCCAAUCAAGGUGUAUCUUGGUUGAUGAGAUUACAGAUAUAAGCCUUCUAAAAAAAAAAGAGGGAGUAUAUGAUACUAUGAGUUACAUGUGUAGUAUAAUAUCAUACACCAGUAUCCAGGGCCGGUCCUGAGUUUUCGGGGGCCCGUAGCAAAACUAGAAUCCGAGGCCCCCUAAAUAUAAACAUCAAUCUAAUGCAAUUUCAACUUUGAAAAUCUUUUCUCUACAUAAACUUUGGUGCAAGUUUUAAGGUUUUUGCUUGUAAAAUCAAACCUCGUAAACUUUGACCAAGUUUAUAUGAAAAAUAUCAACAUUCAAAAUGUGAAAACAAAACAUUAGAUGCGUCAUGACUUUAGUUUUUAUAUUGUAUAAAUUUAGCAUUGUAGAUGUUAAUAUUUUUCCAUAUAAAUACGGUCAAACUUUACGAAGUUUGACUUCAAACAAUUCUUAUAUGCAGAGUAAAAAGGACCGGAGGGAGUACAUUAUAGUACAAACAAAAUAUACAAUAGGGACCAUUGAUGUUUUCUUUUAGAAAAAUGGUAUGAGCACUGCCAGCACUUUGAUCUGUAAGAUGACAACAUUAACAUUGUUUUUCUCUUUAUUGCGGUCCUAAUUAAUAAUACAACAAAAUUAACCACACCAAUGUCCUAGGAUUUAAUUACAUAGCGUAUUUUGGGCUAUGUUUUUGUAUUUCGUUUAUUGCUUUCCUCAAACUGAAAGUAAUUUCACGUUGCAAGAACAGGCAAACACUAUCUACCGUCAACCAAUAUAGUUCGGUCAAGAAGCAGAAAAGUAAAAUCUACAAAACUUUUCUUAUAUCAAGAAUUUUACAUGGUAAUAUCUAUUUACCUGGAUGGGACAGAAUAGAUGUAGGGCUCAUCCCCAAAUCGAGCCCUCAAGCCAUCCACGGAUUUCUCCCGGUGCUCCAAGGACUGUAUGACAACACUCAAGACGACCAAUGCUUUCGCCUGUUCGGCUUGAACAUACAUGGUCUACGAGCUAUGGUCUCGCAACAGUCGUACGCCGCCCCUGAAGACUUGCAUCUCGCCAAGGUAGUGGAUGGGCACGGCAAGGUCGCUCAAGACCUGCACGCGGUGUACUCUUUCGGCCCGCCGGAGGGAGCCAUGGAGUUGCCGUACCCGCAUAUCUCGAUGUAUGGCGCCCAAUGGGCCGAUGAUCAACAGCUGCCGAUGAAGGAAAAUCCGGAAGACGGUGGCUCGCAAUGGAAAUCAUGUAAUCAAGCGUCCUCGUUACAGGCAGAGUUCUCGCUGUGAAUUACGACCUUCGUUGGGCCUUUUGAUGGAGAUCGUGGAAUCAAUAACACGGCUAGUGCGUAGUUGCGUACUACUCCCUCCGAUCUUUUUUUUCUCUGCGCGUAAGCAGCAACACGGAUAGCAAGGAGGACCUGGUUGUAUCUAUUUUGGACUAAUUUGCCCCUGUGCAUGCCCGGACAGAGGGGGACUAAUUUACUUGCUGCAUGCUAUGGGAUUGGGUGAGCGCUUCGGUCUCGUUUUCUCUUCCCCAGGUGCAGGCCAUGGGCCCAUUUGCAUACGGCAGACGCGGGGUACGAUUGAAAACCAGUGCGAGAUUGAAAACCAGUGUGAGAAAAAGGCAACGCGGAGACUAAUUAGAGAAAAACGGAGAAAAGUUAUAUGCAGAGAAUUAAAACGGAGGGAGUACUACUAUAGGCAAGCAAACUUGGGGCCCCCUCAGUUUCGGGAGNNNNNNNNNNNNNNNNNNNNNNNNNNNNNNNNNNNNNNNNNNNNNNNNNNNNNNNNNNNNNNNNNNNNNNNNNNNNNNNNNNNNNNNNNNNNNNNNNNNNNNNNNNNNNNNNNNNNNNNNNNNNNNNNNNNNNNNNNNNNNNNNNNNNNNNNNNNNNNNNNNNNNNNNNNNNNNNNNNNNNNNNNNNNNNNNNNNNNNNNNNNNNNNNNNNNNNNNNNNNNNNNNNNNNNNNNNNNNNNNNNNNNNNNNNNNNNNNNNNNNNNNNNNNNNNNNNNNNNNNNNNNNNNNNNNNNNNNNNNNNNNNNNNNNNNNNNNNNNNNNNNNNNNNNUAUUGUACCUGCUCUAAAACCCGUUGGAUGAAAAUAAUUGUGACAUGAGGACAAACCAUGGCUCGAUGGUUGGGGUUGGCAGUGGCCACCCAGCCCGGCCAAGAUUGAUACUGAGAUCGACGUGGUUGUGUCACCCGGGGUAUUUUCCCUUGUAGGCACCUUACAAGUUUAGGGGCCACAAGGGUAAUUAGAAUCGUAUGGUUUUGAAAGUUUCUCAAGCCAUGAUGUGUGCACGGAUUGUACUCUCUCCAUUUCCUUUUUACUCUGCAUAUAAAAUUGUUUGAAGUCGAGCUAUGUAAGUUUGAUCAAAUUUAUAUAAAAAAAUAUAAACGUCUACAAUACUAAAACUAUAUAAUAUGAAAAUACAUUUAAUCAUGCAUCUGGUAAUAUUGAUUUCAUAUUGUGAAUGUGAUAAUUUUUAAUAUAAAUUAGUCAAACUUUAUAAAGUUUGACUUUGAUCAAAUUUCAUAUACAAACUAAAAAAAAACGGAUGGGGUAUAUCUUAGUAGGCGCAUAGCUGACGUGUGUGGUGGCGUGCAUGCGUGAGUAUACUAUGUGUUGCGCGUCAUCUAAUAACCGAGGCUUAAAAAAAUCGUGGCAUGGAUCGGCCGCUCGGUCGCGCACGCGAGAUGACAAGUCUGGAUAGUUUCAAAUGCCGCCGUGCGCGCCGUCCAACCGGCGCGAUGCACCGUUUCUCAAACGCGCCAACGAAUCGCAGUACGCAUGCCUGCGGGGCACCGGCUGCCAUCCUCCACGAGGAAAGCCCCAUUGGCGCGCGGCGCGGCGCGGUGCAGAACGUCAGAACCGCAUUGAACCAACGCUCACCCAUAUGGCCAUCACCACGCUUUCAUACUUUAUAUUUACCCUUUUUACUAUACUAUAUCGGAUAGUGCUCCUAGCUAGUGUACGCAUGCGUCGACCGAUGCUUGCUUAUCACUGAAAAAAAAAUCGAUAACUAAAACGAAAAAAAAUAUUAAACGGCGGAAUCGUGUUGAAACCAAAGCAUACUCAGCUCCACUCAGCAAUUAAAAGGAGUAACCGAGCGGAAACGAGAGUACAUGUUUUUAUAAACGAGUACAAGGAGAUUAACUGUAGUAGGUCGGGAGGUGCUUUCGCUCCCCACAGGCCACAACCACCUCCGUCUUUAUAAACCCUCACCCAGCUCGCCCUGUCUCGACAACAACUACUCCCUUCUCCCUCUCGAGCUGCAGCCAGGCGACAUCGUCCAAGCAAGAGACAACCAAGCAAAAAAAACCAACAUCUCGUCUUGAUUCGCGUCACCUCGCCUGCAUCAUCUUUGUAACUCUCUUCUAGGACACAUUGUGCUUAUCAGCUUCUCCCUGGAGUAGUGCUUCUAGUUGGUUAGCAAUCUCUUCAUAGAGUUUUGGACUAAUGAGAAAGCAAGGCUUAAUUUCUUUUUCUUUAUUACUACUUUACUACAGAUCUUUGUAAUGGUUGACACUCUGUAGUUGGUUAGCAUGCAAACGUUUCCGAAGCUCCUCUGCAAUCAACAAGUAGAUAUGAGAUAAUCAACUCCCCAGUUUCACGGCGUCGUAUAAUGUUUGCAUAACAGUGUUGUCAAUGUUUCUGGAGCGAUGAAGAAAGAUGAAAGGGUGAACACACCGCAGUCACUGGCUACUACUCUCUCCGUUCCCAAAUAUUUGUCUUUCUAGAUAUUUUAACAAGUGACUACAUACGGAGCAAGAUGAGUGAAUCUACACUCUAAAAUAUGUCUACAUACAUCCGUAUGUUGUGCCCAUUUGAAAUGCCUAGAAAGAAAAAUAUUUAGGAACGGAAGGAGUAGCAGGCUAGCAGCAUGCCACUUGUCUGCUCUGGUGACAUUAAAAUCUGUGUCUUAAUUCUUGAAUCAGUGCUUCCUUUCUGAACAUAGACUUGAGGAUUCUAGCCGUAUAUUUUUUGCUGCUCAGUCAUGUACUCAACUUCCAACAAAGGAUUUGAUCCUUUGUAUUAUUGCUCUAAUUCGUGAUCAAAAUUAACCUCGAAAUAUGUAUUUGGGCAUAUCCUGAUAUAAGUAUCUUGGGAGAACAUGGGGCUUCUCAGAGCUCAGCGAUUACUAGCCGUUCGAUCGAUUUUUUUGAUGCGUUUUCAGCCGUCAGAUCAGGCCACUGGAGGACCUCGGCCGUUGGAUCGACCCGGUAACACUGCUACAAUGAAUAGUUACCUCCCGCUGUAAUAGAUCUCGUGCCACCGCGUGUAAUUCUCGUGCCACGCCGAGGGCAUUUUAGUAAUUUCACUAUAGGGUAUAAAAUCUCACCAGCUCCCCGUAGAACCCUAGCCGCUCGCCCCGCCCUGCCGUCUCGCCCGUCCCGCCGUCUCGCCCGCCCCACCGCCCUGCCCCGCCCAACCCGUCCCGCUCGCCGUGGCCGUGGCCUAUGACCGCGGCCCCGCCGUCCCGCCCUGCCGUCUCGCCCGCCCCGCCGUCUCGCCCGCCCCACCGCCCCGUCCGUCCCGCUUGCCGUGGCCGUGGCUGAUGACCGCGGCGCAGCAAGGACCAUCCGCCUCGCCUCUCCUCCUCCCCAUAGGCCCCCAUCAAGCUCGCGCUCACUGCUCUGGGUCGCGCGCCGCCGUGCCCCCGGUCAACUCUGCAUGGGCCGCCUCCCUCCUCCUCCUUCCCAUCGGGAUCGGGCAGGAGGAGCGCAGGAAGGUCAUGGGUCACCUCCCUCAUCCUCCCCAUCGGGACCGGGCAGGAGGAUGAGCGCCCUCCCUCGUGACCGCCUCAACGGGAGAAGGGAUGCGGCCGUCGCUGCCGACGAGAACAUCGCUAGUGAGCGCGGUGGCAGCCAUCGACGACCUCGAGCGUGUGGGCGCGUUGGUGAGCGCGGCGGCGGUCGUGGCCGUGGCCGAGCUCGAGCCCUGGCGCAGCGGCGCGUUGUUGAGCACGGUGGCGGCCCGACCAUGGCCGAGCUCGAGCGUCUCAGUCUCCGAUGGCUCCUGCGUGUGCCGCUCCUGGGUGAGGUGUUUGUUCAAUUGCCGUGGUUGAUUUUCUCUGUUACUUUCGGUUUGGUCAGGGUCUCAGUGGGAUUUCAUUGCAGGUUCUGAAGAGCCACUGUUUGUUCCGUUCGUCGAGGAUUCGACCGUCCUGCCGACUACUGCUGCGUUGAGAUGUUGCAAGGCUUCGGGUCUGUGAGCUCUUCUUUUUCCUUCCUAUCUAGCGGUCUAAUAUUUGUGGAAGUGUUGUUAUGUGCGGCUUCAGUAGUUUCUUAGAUGUGUUGGCUGCUCGUAUCUGGCUAAUGCUUUUGCAUAUCUAGGGUGUUGCUCGUGUAUAUUUGCUAUUGAGCUCGGUGUACUGUGCUUUGCCGUUCGUGUGGGUGUGCACGCUAGCAAACAUCCCCUGGUUGGAUUUAGUGGGUUUCUAUCCUGCCUUGUUUGUUUGCUGGUGUAUGCCUUUUCUUCCUUGGUUGAAUCCUGCUAGGGCUGGUAUUAUGUUCUCAUCUGCACAUGGAUGCUUGGUGCAUUUUUUCUUCUCGUCCAAUUGGCAUGCCUGCUGAUGUGUGUGUUGGUCUUGUGUGUCCUAUGUCAUGCUAGCGUCGUCGAUUUGCGAGGAUUGUUUGAUACAUUAUGCUCAUCAUAGUGUGAUUUCAGGAAGGUGUGGAUGCAACAAGAUAUUUGCCCUUUAGUUUAGUCUGGUACAUUUGAAUUAGUCUGCUUGGUCCGUGUUCAUUUAGUCGGCUGAUUUUGGUUGGCACCUUUUGAUUUGCUUGCUGAGAAACAUAGAGUUGUUUGUCCACUCACACAUGAAAAAAAUAUGGCUGGAUUUGUUUAUGUUGGAUUGAGGGAAGGAUAGGCUGUUCAUUGGCUUGUAUUGUUGGAUUUGGUCUCCCUAGGUUAAAUUGGAGGUUUUGAUUCAUGCUGAGAAACAAUUUCUUCGUCCCACUGUAGUGUCAUAUCAGUUUGGAUCCCUGUGUGACUUUUGUUUCAUAAAUUAGCAUUUUUGGAUAUCAAGAAUUGUAGAUUUCUAGCUCAUCUGCAGCAACAAAAGGCAACGCUUGUGUGCUAAUUAAUAAUGAUACGUUUCAUUGUUCUGGGGAGUAUUUAGAAUGUAGAAGAUGGCAGUGUACCUGAACUUUAUAUUACGUUCAGUUGACAGGCUUCACACUUUGAUAUUUUUCUUUGGACGACCACUAUCAUUGAUUAGGUGUGUGACAUUUCCUGGCUGAUGUGGUCCAAGGGCAAUUAUCAAGUGGUCGGGGUUGCGGAGGAGAAUUUGAGGUAGAAGCUCAUUUAUUUUCUGUUGCUAGCUUACAUGUAACAUCCAUAGACUUUUGUUCUUUAUAUUCUGUUCAAAUAGUCAUCGAACAUUCUUUGGUUGCAUUGCUGUAUGAAAACAUUUUGCACUGAAAUUAACUAUAUAUGCUUAUUAUUAGUUCAGCACUAAUAUUCUAAACCUGUAGUAUAAACCUAGGUGCUUUCCCCUCUAAAUUUCUUCAUGUUAGGUUUCAGAAUAAUCUCCCACCACCACCACGAUUCAUAUCUGGAGAAGCUUUGUGGAAUCCGUGGUGUUGUCCUUCUCGUACUAUGGUUGCUGGCCUAUGGGGAAUCAGGAUGGACAUUGAGCAAAGUGGCAGCAACGGGUGGCAGGUGUUGUGGCCGAGGAGCUCCAGCACACACCCACAUGUUCACUUGUUGACCUGGCAGCUCUUCACUGAGGUAGUGAGGCCUCCUCCUUCUUCCUUUUCUUUCAUCUCAACUCUUCCUGUAACCAUCUUUUGCCUGUUUUUUGGGUGCUUUUGUGUAUAGGUUUGCUGCUUUGGUUUGGCUGGGAUGUGUGCCUCCAUGGUUGGGUCGUGUGGACUGCUGGCAAGGAUGGAGAAGCAUAGGAAGGUGUCACCAUUGCAUAGAUUCUAUUAUAGCCAUGCUAGCUGCUUGGCCAUGUCAUUUUGUUCACACAGGUGUGUCCACAACAACUCUGAUAGUGCCAUGCCGGUGAGCUCAGACCCUGAUGUUUAAUUUGAUUAUCAGUACAAACUGGGGCUGGACUGAUGUGUGCUAAUGUCCUCUUGAUUGGUUUUAUGUAGGACACGGUAUCAUUAAACAAGGACUCUUUUGGCGGACUCUUUUAUCACCUGUUUCCUGGCGCUAAGUCUGCAAACGGUUCAGCUUUGCUUCAGUCCUCUCUUGAGGCCAGAGCAGUAACAUGAGAAAAAACAUCGUAUUAGCUUCUGUAUUAACAAGUGUAAUUAUGUAGUACUAUAUUUUGAUCGGUUUUGUUUCCUCUAUACUGCCAAAAUAUCAUAAUUAGACUGCAUUACAUAACAGCAAGAAUAUUGCCAUACAACUCAGAUUCAUAUAACUUGCAGUAUGUUCCAUGAUAAAUGUAUCCAACAGGGGCUGGACAUAUUUUUUUUGCUUCAUAGUUCAUUUUGAAUGAAAAUAACAAAUGGUUUCUACCUCCAUGGUUGACCUGUUUUGUCAUUGUUCUCUCCGUACAAAGGCACCAAUACCUAACAUUUAUCCUAACAGAUUCACGGGUCCAAGAAUAGGGUCAGACCGGACCGGACCUGUUGAAUCUUGAGUGACACAGAUGUCCUGUUGGUGUGAGGUGGGGAUUUUUAGUUUAGAAGAGCUUGAGACCUUGUUACAUUUCAAAGUAGCAGUUCACAAAUGGGCACCCCAUUUGGUCAUCAUGUGGGAUCAUGGGUUUAUCAUACAUGUUUUAUCUAGCACAACUAUCAAAAUUCCCUCACAGUUUGAUUUAGCAUACUAUUUAGACCCUGAUGCUCUUAAACUAACGCAUGCAAAAGCAUUUGAAAUCACACUAUUUAGUACAACAUUUUCUUCAAAAUAUCACUUUUGGAUAUCAAACUUACUUACAAUCCAAGACAAAUGAAAUAUAAAACUUAAUUGCAUCCAUUAAGAAAUAGGAGUCAAUGUAGUUUCUCAUGUACUUUUCUGCUCGAGAGGUGGUAAUGGAACAAAUAAAUAUAUCUCCACCGCAAUUCAGAAAUAUUUUUGUGUGUUCAUUUCAUGCCCAGAGUCUUGCAGGUUGUAAGUGUGUCAAUAUAUUUAUGUGGUUCCUUAUGUCUUUGUUUCAUAUCUAUUUCAGGUUUUCCUCUGUGGCCUCAAAUCCAGCUUAUCGUUGAUUCCAUAUUGAAUAAAUGUCUGCAGUCUUAGUUUGCACUCUGUUCUGCAACAUGGAAAUUUGGACUGGUCCACUUCAUCUCGAGCCGCUGGUCCACUGCUUCUCUGGUUUUAUAAAAAGGUAGAUAUUGUUUUUUCCUGGAUCAUUGGUACUUAUAGCCUUAUAGGAGGCCGAUUCUUAAAUUGGCUAAUAAGCAAGGCUUAAAUGUAGAUGAUUGUCCUUUGUCACUCUUUAGUAAUAUAGCUGACUUUUUUUCAUUUUUUGUUCAUGGCAAAGACGCCUAUGUGUGUGGGCGUGUGUGUUGCCAUCGAAUCAGGAUGAAAAGUUUGGGUCUCCUCUGAUUUAUUUACAUAUGUAUCUUCCACUACCUGAACUUUCCCUGUCCUACAGAGCAUAUACAUGCAUGUGUUGGAAGGCUGAUUAGAGACUGGUCUUUACUACCGGCUGCCCUCUAUCUGAAAUAUCAAACAUUUACUUCCUCCACCUAUUCGGAUGCCUAUGCUUGGCUGUUGUAAUUGCAGAUGGAUUUAUGAUGUUGAGCAGAUCACCAUGUUGAAGGCUGAGCAAUUAGAGACGAGUGUUAUUGCCAAAGUAAGGUGAUGAUAAAUAAUCUCAUGUUUGACUUCGUGCAUGUUCAUAUAAUAACAAUGUGAUUCGGCACGCCGAUUCCUUUCUAUGCGCUGAUUUUUGUUUCUCUCUUUAUACGUUUAAAUUUUUGAGGAAAAUAACGCUGCAUGAUUAUAUCGGUUUAACUCCAGUUCACAUUCUUACACAUAUUCCUCCUACCUUUGCUUCAUAUAAGUGUCUUGAUACACUAUUAUAACCAUUCAUGAUCUAAUCACACUAAAUAAGAGAUAAUGGGGAAGAUUCUGUCCUACCUUUGCUUCAUAUAAGUGUCUUUUCAACACCACUGUCCAAAACAGCGGGACCUAUCCAACGCAAAUGUCGAUUACUUGUGUUUGCUCUCCUAAUGAGAUAAUGGGGGAAGAUUCUGCCGCUUUUGAGGCCAUCAGGUACAUGGAGAGCGCCACAAACACUGUGGCGAAGGAUCUGAAAUACAAACGGCUGGGCAAAUUUACCGAGUGUUUGGUUAUCUAAGGCUCAGACUCGAUUAGGCAUUUGACAUGAUAGACAAGCUUGCCAAAGGUUACUUAUAUGAUGUGAGAUACAUGUCCUCCUUUUCAGAUUAGAUUGAUAGUGUGAUGGCAGAUGCCUUUCCUGCUACUUGUGCCAUGGAUAAAUCGACAAAGUUGAUGGUUAUUAUAUUGAGUUGGUGGGGCAUAAUCUUAAGGACAGAAGCUGCCACUAGCUACUGAGAUGUGCUCUGUGAACUAUUGUCGGAUUGUCCUUGCCUUCUGUAAGAGUGCCCUGCUCUAAGAAUUAUAUGAAAUUCUUUAUGUUGACUUCAUAUUAGUUGCACUAAUGCACUGCUGGAGCUUUAGCAGAACUAUAUAGGAUUCUUAUCUUGGAAUGUCGUUUGCACCCAACUGUUGUAUCUAUUUUAUGAGGAACCAUUGUCUUGGCUUACUUUUGAAACCAAAUAUAUAUUCCUACUUUGUCAUGAACUUUGAGAUUAACUGUUCUAUUGAGUAUCUUACUUUACUUGCUUUUGGUAUAUCUGAUUUUACUGCCUUUUUUAUUGCUUUAACAAAACAUGCCAUGCUACUGAUGUAACGUAUUGGGUUGAUAUAUCCUGAGUAAUCAUUCUAAUUUUCAUUUGGCAAUUGUACUAUGUUGAUUCAUUGCCGGCAAUCUUUCUAUUCCUGGUUGGCAACACUAAAUGCUUUGUUUAAACGUUUGAACAAUACGUUGGGCCAGGCACCUCGCGCCAAGGCGUGAUUCCUAUCUAGUAUAUUUGGAUAGAGGGAGUACCCGCCUCCUGGGACAUCGGCACUCCCGAGUGCCCUCCGUUCCGUGCACGCCAAGCACCGAUGGCUCCCUUGCGUGCUCCCGACCGCCCAAUCUUCCCAGACGCUCCGCAUUGUGCCUUUUUCCCACGGGGGUCCAUGAUGCAUGGGCCGCGAGCACAAUCGUGGCCACCUUGCUGCGAUGCUAUUCGUUGCGCCUACGUGUGUCAUGUCGUGCGUUACCCCGCAUCCGUCGAGUAAGCCAGGUCGGCGUGUCAGCGUCUCUCGUCUCAUGCUGGGUUGUUCAGUUCCCGCAAGCCGGGUACGCGCAUGCGCUUGGGUCGGCAUGUGACCGUCAUUCAAUUGCUAUUGGGCUUUUCGGUUUGCGCAAGCCGGAUACGCCCAUGCGUCCGGGCACCCUGUGCAUGCUUGGUUCGCGCGAGGUGAGUAUGCGUGUGCACCCAGGUCAGCCCAUGAGCAUUGCAUGGCCAAACAGGGUGAUGGAGUACUCGUCUCCAACUAGCCACAAUGAGUAGUAAUAUAGACUAGUAACAUGUGUAUGUUACUACUCUAUGUUACCACCUAUAUAGUGGGGAGUAACAUAUGUGUGGUAACAUGCAACACUUCAUUUAUUAGGCUAUAGACACAUCUUGCCUUGAUACGUGUGAGAGCAUCUCCAGCCGCGCCCCCAACAAGACCCCCCAGGCGACUUUUUUGGCCGCCGGCACCGAAAAAUCGGCCCAGUCGCGCCCCCAAAGGCCCUUUUUUCGCUGGCUCGGGUUCAAAUUGGCGCCGGCGGACCCAGGCCGAACCCGGCACGCUGGGGGCGCUUGGGGGAUCGUUUUUGGCGCGAAAAUCGGCGGGCCCUCCUUGAUAGCGACUCGGCUCUUCUCGUCGCUUCGUCGUCCUCAUCGCCUUGGUUCCCGCAGGGGAAUCAAUGCCAAAGCUGCCGCGGGCUGCCGUGCCGGUCAGCCUCCUCCAUUGAUGCCUCACGGGCGGCGCAGUGAAGACGGGGCGACGCAGGACCCUCGCCCGCCACGCGUACGCACGGCAGCCACGCGAGCGCCGCCUAUGUAAGCCGCCCCCUCCCGCACCGGUGAGCCACGCACAGACCUCGCUCUCCACCGCCGACGCCCCCGUUCCUCCCUCUCUUCUCGCCGUUCCCAGUUCACCCAAUGGCCGAGCGCUAUCCAGGCGAUGGAGCGGCGGCGAACGGCUUCGGCCGCCGCCACCUUCACGAGGACAAAGCCCGGCUUCUCUAUGAGGCCGAGUACCCGGUCCCGCCGGACAUGCGGGUGCCCGAGGCGUGGAGGAUAAGCGCCGGCGGGGUCCCGGUGCCACCGCCGCCCACCGGGGCGGCGCGUCGUGCGGAGAUCGCCCGUAUCUGUGCCUCUCUGCCGCAGGCGGCGAGAGAAGGGCCGAGGUACACCCCGACAGCACGCUGUGGGAGCCAUACUUCAGCCGCCGCCACGCCGAGCAGCUCGAGGCCACCAACGGCGUCGUGCCCUUCGGCAGGCUCAACGCCGACGGGCGCCACCGAUGGUGGGGCGUGCCGGGCCGCACGCUGGAGGCCGUCCUCAAGUACAUCGAGGGCGGCAACACGCCGAGGCUGGAGUACCCCGCUCCCCCACCUUCUCCCGCCGGCGUGGGAGCUCGUGGACGCCGAGACGCAUGGACCCGGCGUCCUCCUCCUCGUCCGGCCGCUCGUCCGGCUCUCUCUCCCUCCUCCCCAUCAAGCCGGAGCCCCAGGACGCGUCGAUCAGCCGGCGCACCCGCAGCUGCGGCGUCCGCAUCGCCGAGUCCUCCCCCACCUCUGCCCGGCUCGUCAGGCCGAAGGUGGAGUCCGGCCUCCCCGCGAAGUACGAGGCCAUAGCCCGGUGCGGCUUCUCCGACGAGGACGCCCUAAAGUGGGCGCGGGACGACUACCUCCGCGACGAGAUUGUCCGGUAGCGCCGAGCCCUGCAGGAGAUAGCCGCCCGCCAGCGUUGGCGCGAGGACGAGAACGGCGUGGUGAUCCUCGACAGCGACGAGGACGAGGACACCCCUGGACCGUCCAACCCGCCGCGCGUCGGCGACCCUGGGCAGGGGAGCAGCAGGGACGGCGGCCGCGGAGGAGGCGACGACGACGACGACGACGACAACGGCGACUACACGCAGUUCUACAUGCUCCUCGGCAUGUAGAGCUUCAGGGCGGCGGGCGGCGAGGAACAGCGAGGGCGACGGCGGGUCUAGUAGUGUUUUUUUUCUUCUUUUGUAAAAUAUUUUAUGAACUCGCUGAAGUUUGGUUAAAUUUGCGCCUUGUUUGUGCGAACGUGGGGCCGGAUUUUGUUUUAGAAAAAACAUG